CCUACGGGUGGCUGCAGUGGGGAAUAUUGGACAAUGGGGGCAACCCCGAUCCAGCCAUGCCGCGUGUGUGAAGAAGGCCCUCGGGUUGUAAAGCACUUUCAGUGAGGAAGAACGCCUGGUGGUUAAUACCCAUCAGGAAAGACAUCACUCACAGAAGAAGCACCGGCUAACUCCGUGCCAGCAGCCGCGGUAAUACGGAGGGUGCGAGCGUUAAUCGGAAUUACUGGGCGUAAAGCGCGCGUAGGUGGCUUGAUAAGCCGGUUGUGAAAGCCCCGGGCUCAACCUGGGAACGGCAUCCGGAACUGUCAAGCUAGAGUGCAGGAGAGGAAGGUAGAAUUCCCGGUGUAGCGGUGAAAUGCGUAGAGAUCGGGAGGAAUACCAGUGGCGAAGGCGGCCUUCUGGACUGACACUGACACUGAGGUGCGAAAGCGUGGGUAGCAAACAGGAUUAGAUACCCUAGUAGUC
This 465-nucleotide ribosomal RNA is filed under the name Vreelandella stevensii. RNAcentral describes it as "partial 16S ribosomal RNA". It matches the Rfam family "Bacterial small subunit ribosomal RNA", at positions 338 to 795 of the family's 1533-position model. Lineage: Bacteria; Pseudomonadati; Pseudomonadota; Gammaproteobacteria; Oceanospirillales; Halomonadaceae. The record is from RNAcentral.